Molecule: ribosomal RNA, 1400 nt
Filed under: Kocuria sp. MSCB-12
Lineage: Bacteria; Bacillati; Actinomycetota; Actinomycetes; Micrococcales; Micrococcaceae
Description: bacterial SSU rRNA
Rfam family: Bacterial small subunit ribosomal RNA
Source: RNAcentral
CGGAUUAGUGGCGAACGGGUGAGUAAUACGUGAGUAACCUGCCUUUGACUCUGGGAUAAGCCUGGGAAACUGGGUCUAAUACUGGAUACUACCUCUUACCGCAUGGUGGGUGGUGGAAAGGGUUUUACUGGUUUUGGAUGGGCUCACGGCCUAUCAGCUUGUUGGUGGGGUAAUGGCUCACCAAGGCGACGACGGGUAGCCGGCCUGAGAGGGUGACCGGCCACACUGGGACUGAGACACGGCCCAGACUCCUACGGGAGGCAGCAGUGGGGAAUAUUGCACAAUGGGCGGAAGCCUGAUGCAGCGACGCCGCGUGAGGGAUGACGGCCUUCGGGUUGUAAACCUCUUUCAGUAGGGAAGAAGCGAGAGUGACGGUACCUGCAGAAGAAGCGCCGGCUAACUACGUGCCAGCAGCCGCGGUAAUACGUAGGGCGCAAGCGUUGUCCGGAAUUAUUGGGCGUAAAGAGCUCGUAGGCGGUUUGUCGCGUCUGCUGUGAAAGCCCGGGGCUCAACCCCGGGUCUGCAGUGGGUACGGGCAGACUAGAGUGCAGUAGGGGAGACUGGAAUUCCUGGUGUAGCGGUGAAAUGCGCAGAUAUCAGGAGGAACACCGAUGGCGAAGGCAGGUCUCUGGGCUGUUACUGACGCUGAGGAGCGAAAGCAUGGGGAGCGAACAGGAUUAGAUACCCUGGUAGUCCAUGCCGUAAACGUUGGGCACUAGGUGUGGGGGACAUUCCACGUUUUCCGCGCCGUAGCUAACGCAUUAAGUGCCCCGCCUGGGGAGUACGGCCGCAAGGCUAAAACUCAAAGGAAUUGACGGGGGCCCGCACAAGCGGCGGAGCAUGCGGAUUAAUUCGAUGCAACGCGAAGAACCUUACCAAGGCUUGACAUUCACCGGACCGCCCCAGAGAUGGGGUUUCCCUUCGGGGCUGGUGGACAGGUGGUGCAUGGUUGUCGUCAGCUCGUGUCGUGAGAUGUUGGGUUAAGUCCCGCAACGAGCGCAACCCUCGUUCUAUGUUGCCAGCACGUGAUGGUGGGGACUCAUAGGAGACUGCCGGGGUCAACUCGGAGGAAGGUGGGGAUGACGUCAAAUCAUCAUGCCCCUUAUGUCUUGGGCUUCACGCAUGCUACAAUGGCCGGUACAAAGGGUUGCGAUACUGUGAGGUGGAGCUAAUCCCAAAAAGCCGGUCUCAGUUCGGAUUGAGGUCUGCAACUCGACCUCAUGAAGUCGGAGUCGCUAGUAAUCGCAGAUCAGCAACGCUGCGGUGAAUACGUUCCCGGGCCUUGUACACACCGCCCGUCAAGUCACGAAAGUUGGUAACACCCGAAGCCGGUGRCCUAACCCCUUGUGGGAGGGAGCCGUCGAAGGUGGGACUGGCGAUUGGGACUAAGUCGUAACAAG